Molecule: ribosomal RNA, 1345 nt
Filed under: uncultured bacterium
Lineage: Bacteria
Description: bacterial SSU rRNA
Rfam family: Bacterial small subunit ribosomal RNA
Source: RNAcentral
GACGAACGUUGGCGGCGUGCUUAACACAUGCAAGUCGAACGGAAAGGCCCUGCUUUUGUGGGGUGCUCGAGUGGCGAACGGGUGAGUAACACGUGAGUAACCUGCCCUUGACUUUGGGAUAACUUCAGGAAACUGGGGCUAAUACCGGAUAGGAGCUCCUGCUGCAUGGUGGGGGUUGGAAAGUUUCGGCGGUUGGGGAUGGACUCGCGGCUUAUCAGCUUGUUGGUGGGGUAGUGGCUUACCAAGGCUUUGACGGGUAGCCGGCCUGAGAGGGUGACCGGCCACAUUGGGACUGAGAUACGGCCCAGACUCCUACGGGAGGCAGCAGUGGGGAAUAUUGCACAAUGGGCGGAAGCCUGAUGCAGCAACGCCGCGUGCGGGAUGACGGCCUUCGGGUUGUAAACCGCUUUCGCCUGUGACGAAGCGUGAGUGACGGUAAUGGGUAAAGAAGCACCGGCUAACUACGUGCCAGCAGCCGCGGUGAUACGUAGGGUGCGAGCGUUGUCCGGAUUUAUUGGGCGUAAAGGGCUCGUAGGUGGUUGAUCGCGUCGGAAGUGUAAUCUUGGGGCUUAACCCUGAGCGUGCUUUCGAUACGGGUUGACUUGAGGAAGGUAGGGGAGAAUGGAAUUCCUGGUGGAGCGGUGGAAUGCGCAGAUAUCAGGAGGAACACCAGUGGCGAAGGCGGUUCUCUGGGCCUUUCCUGACGCUGAGGAGCGAAAGCGUGGGAGCGAACAGGCUUAGAUACCCUGGUAGUCCACGCUGUAAACGGUGGGUACUAGGUGUGGGGUCCAUUCCACGGGUUCCGUGCCGUAGCUAACGCUUUAAGUACCCCGCCUGGGGAGUACGGCCGCAAGGCUAAAACUCAAAGGAAUUGACGGGGCCCCGCACAAGCGGCGGAGCAUGCGGAUUAAUUCGAUGCAACGCGUAGAACCUUACCUGGGUUUGACAUGGAUCGGGAGUGCUCAGAGAUGGGUGUGCCUCUUUUGGGGUCGGUUCACAGGUGGUGCAUGCCUGUCGUCAGCUCGUGUCGUGAGAUGUUGGGUUAAGUCCCGCAACGAGCGCAACCCUUGUUCACUGUUGCCAGCACGUUAUGGUGGGGACUCAGUGGAGACCGCCGGGGUCAACUCGGAGGAAGGUGGGGAUGACGUCAAGUCCUCAUGCCCCUUAUGUCCAGGGCUUCACGCAUGCUACAAUGGCUGGUACAGAGAGUGGCGAGCCUGUGAGGGUGAGCGAAUCUCGGAAAGCCGGUCUCAGUUCGGAUUGGGGUCUGCAACUCGACCUCAUGAAGUCGGAGUCGCUAGUAAUCGCAAAGCAGCAACGCUGCGGUGAAUACGUUCCCGGGGCU